RNAcentral lists this ribosomal RNA (466 nucleotides) under uncultured bacterium. RNAcentral's name for it is "partial 16S ribosomal RNA". It matches the Rfam family "Bacterial small subunit ribosomal RNA", at positions 28 to 507 of the family's 1533-position model. The record is from RNAcentral.
GACGAACGCUGGCGGCGCGCCUAACACAUGCAAGUCGAACGAGCGAGCGAGAGCUUGCUUUCUCGAGCGAGUGGCGAACGGGUGAGUAACGCGUGAGGAACCUGCCUCAAAGAGGGGGACAACAGUUGGAAACGACUGCUAAUACCGCAUAAGCCCACGUCUCGGCAUCGAGUAGGGGGAAAAGGAGCAAUCCGCUUUGAGAUGGCCUCGCGUCCGAUUAGCUAGUUGGUGGGGUAACGGCCCACCAAGGCGACGAUCGGUAGCCGGACUGAGAGGUUGAACGGCCACAUUGGGACUGAGACACGGCCCAGACUCCUACGGGAGGCAGCAGUGGGGAAUAUUGCACAAUGGGGGAAACCCUGAUGCAGCGACGCCGCGUGGAGGAAGAAGGUCUUCGGAUUGUAAACUCCUGUUGUUGGGGAAGAUAAUGACGGUACCCAACAAGGAAGUGACGGCUAACUACGUG